GCCGGAGUUGAGAGAGGCCCGGGCUAUCCGGCGCCAGAGCAGGUCGCAGCUGGUGAAGCGCCGCAGCCAGCGGCACACCUGAGCCAGGCGGCCGAGGGCCUGCAUGUCCAGAAGAUGAAACUGAAGCAUAUGGUCACACCGUUCCUAAAUGACAGAACAGGGGAUCUUCCCAGCCCAGGAAUCGAACCCCGGUCUCCUGCAUUGCAGGCGGAUUCUUUACCAACUGAGCUACAAGGAAAGUCCUAAGCCUUCACCGUACACAACAGAAAAUGGAAUAGGAAUAAGGCAUUGAAUUCAGAGUCUUCUAGGAUCCCUUUCAAUUAAUAUAGCCACACCUAAUAAUAUACAUUUCCUCUGACCUUCAGGCAGGUCUGGUAUCUAAAUAAAAGCUGCUUCUAAACAACUAAAGUAGAUCCUGUCCUUGUCUCAACUAUUAAUACUUUCUAAGGGUUAAUAUGUAGAAUCCAUAGCCUCUUAUGCUUUUCAUAAUCUUUUUGCAAAGCUUCAAAAGGAUUUGUAGGAACUACUGUCUUGCAAGAGAAGAUAUAACAAAAGUUUAGUAAUUUCAUCAUUUUACUUCAGCUUCUAUUUCUUUUGUUAAAUUAAAUAACAGUGUGUGUGUAGUAUGUAUUAUAUGAGCCUUUUUUGUAAGU
Budorcas taxicolor (takin) is the source of this 653-nucleotide long non-coding RNA. RefSeq lists it as uncharacterized. The transcript is spliced from 3 exons. The record is from RefSeq and is a predicted model, not a curated record. Lineage: Eukaryota; Metazoa; Chordata; Mammalia; Artiodactyla; Bovidae.